CGUAACAAGGUUUCCGUAGGUGAACCUGCGGAAGGAUCAUUACCUAGAGUUGUAGGCUUUGCCUGCUAUCUCUUACCCAUGUCUUUUGAGUACCUUCGUUUCCUCGGCGGGUCCGCCCGCCGAUUGGACAAUUUAAACCAUUUGCAGUUGCAAUCAGCGUCUGAAAAAACUUAAUAGUUACGACUUUCAACAACGGAUCUCUUGGUUCUGGCAUCGAUGAAGAACGCAGCGAAAUGCGAUAAGUAGUGUGAAUUGCAGAAUUCAGUGAAUCAUCGAAUCUUUGAACGCACAUUGCGCCCCUUGGUAUUCCAUGGGGCAUGCCUGUUCGAGCGUCAUUUGUACCUUCAAGCUCUGCUUGGUGUUGGGUGUUUGUCUCGCCUCUGCGCGUAGACUCGCCUCAAAACAAUUGGCAGCCGGCGUAUUGAUUUCGGAGCGCAGUACAUCUCGCGCUUUGCACUCAUAACGACGACGUCCAAAAGUACAUUUUUACACUCUUGACCUCGGAUCAGGUAGGGAUACCCGCUGAACUUAAGCAUAUCA
Molecule: ribosomal RNA, 540 nt
Filed under: uncultured fungus
Lineage: Eukaryota; Fungi
Description: eukaryotic LSU rRNA
Rfam family: 5.8S ribosomal RNA (bases 182-335)
Source: RNAcentral